This is a long non-coding RNA of Acanthochromis polyacanthus (spiny chromis), 277 nucleotides long. RefSeq lists it as uncharacterized. The record is from RefSeq and is a predicted model, not a curated record. The transcript is spliced from 3 exons. Lineage: Eukaryota; Metazoa; Chordata; Actinopteri; Pomacentridae.
GCCCGACUGUGAGUUCCUGCUGGCCCUUUAUAACUUUGUGAGAGAACGGGGUCUCAUCGGCUCUGUACCUGAACUCAUGCAGCUCACAUACAAGAUGGCCAGCAGUGGUCUAGAGCUGAGUCUAGAUUGCCUGGACUGUGUAAAAAACGCCCCUGUGCUCCAGCAAUCACUUCAUCCAGACUCAACUAUUGCACUUUCUGGCAACCACAAGUUAACCAACAAUGUCACCGUUGUGGAGUCCCUGAAUUUAUCCCAUGCCAUUGUGGAAAUAGAAGUU